Long non-coding RNA from Micropterus dolomieu (smallmouth bass), 2325 nucleotides. RefSeq lists it as uncharacterized. The transcript is spliced from 3 exons. NCBI's taxonomy places the organism in Eukaryota, Metazoa, Chordata, Actinopteri, Centrarchiformes, Centrarchidae. The record is from RefSeq and is a predicted model, not a curated record.
CCCACAUUGACUGUCAGUUGGAAACAGGAAACUUUGUUGUGCCAUCCAUCCACCCCGCUGUCCUCCCUACACUCUAUAACCGCCUGACUUCCUCCUUCGUUCCAACCAUUAUUCCUACAACCACUAGAGGAUGCUGUCACUUAAACACAAACAUGAUGUUGUUCUUGGGAAGAGAGUGUCUCCUGGACAGUGUUUCCUCACUGAGCUGCAGCGGACUGGCAGUAACACACGAGGGAACUUCAUACUAAAAAGAAUUUGUCUUCGAUCCAGCUAAGGCUCAGAAUACUUACAGCACUUGUACAGCCUGUUCAGCCUCUCAAUGUCAUUCUUGCUCAUCUGGGUGGCCUGGCCGAAAGGCACAUUGGCGUUGGGAAUGGGCUCCAUAGUGGGACGGUUGUUCUUGGAGAAGGCAUACCUGGAGAAUCACAGUUCACCCUGAUGUAGCUGUCCCUGUCAGAGCGGGUCUGUUCAUGGUUGAAGCCGAGGGCGUGGAGCAGCUCAUGCUGGAUGGUGCUGUGGUACAGACAGCCCUGGCGGCUCAGAGACACAGUCUGACUUCCGCCCUGACGACCCACCCAGGAGUAGCAGCUGUGGACACAUUAACACAGAACAGUUGUUAGAAAUUACACAACAUAUCACCAAUUGUUGCUCUUCAGUCUUCAUUUUAGAAGAGCAAUGCAACAAGUAUCCAUUUGAUUAUAUGCUGCAUCCUGUCAGAUCUCUUCUAUUCAAAUAUGAACAUCUUAUUCUACUGGUCACUAGUAACUAUCAGUGGCUGCUUAAAAUGUUUUAGACCGCAAACAUGCCAGCAGCAUUUGUUGUUAAGUCCAGUGGAAAAUAGUCUAAUAUACUUUCUGUAGUUAAUGAAAUGGAAAUGAAUCUGUGUUUCAUUAUAAGGGAAUUGAAAGGAGGACUGAGAUGCUUUAAAGCUGCAAUACGCAAAUUAUAGUCAGAGCCUCACCCGUCCCUGGACUCGAUGCUCAGCCACUCAUGAUCACCAUCCUGGUAGGGUUGGAAACGGAUGCAGGAAACUGAAGAGAAAGACUCCAGUCCACGAAUGAUGAUGGCCUGCUCACGGGAGGCUGGCAGGACAAAAAUGGCAGCUUGAGAAUAUCUGUAGCGGAGUAGCUUUUUCCACCAUUGUAACCUUAUCACAGUCAGUUAUGUUGUGUAACAAUUCCACUUUAUUAUUUUGGACUGCUGCAGAAUUUUAGGUUGUUAUUAUUACUGCCAUAGUUAUUAUGUCAUUAUAGUUGUGACACAGACCUAUUAACAUUUAACAUUUAAGUUACUUAUACAUGUUAUCUUGGCUCAGGGUACUUUUAGUUCCUACCUAAUGUUUUAUGGAGGACAAGUGUGAGUGUAACACUGAAGGGUAUAACAAGAAAGGGGGUAACCCAGAGAUCGGACAGUGAAGCUGACCAAAGCCUGCAUGGAGGGAUCCAUGUGACACCCCGUCGCACAUGAGAGAUGUGAGAGAGAUGAACUCUCGGCAAUCAAAAAAAACUAUGAGAGCAAUCAGAGACGCUGCUUUGGUGUUUGGCAGGUGAGCCUCGUAGCUGGGCUGAUUAAUCAGUGACGAUCCGAGUCACACAAACACACGCUGGUGCCAACAGGAAGUGGCCCUGUAGUAAUAUUUUAUUGGUCCAAAACUGGCUUCACUGCUCUCCAUUCAAAUCAGAGGGGUGGCUUUGUCCAGUAAUAUACUGUGCAACAGUAGAGUCUGUUGUGUACCCCGAGAGAGUUAGGGGAGUUUAUUAGUAUAUAUCAAAAGUAAAGUAAAAACACUCCAUGUGUAUAUUAUAUUGUUUGAUUAUUAUUACUGUGUGUAAUGUAGCACUGUUGUAGUCCAUAAAAGGCUGAGUCUUGUAAGUUUGAUAUUGAUUUUGUACAAUUCAAUGUAAUUUGAAAGGGUGAUGGAUUUUCUUUUCUUUUCUUUGUAUUUAUCAUUGCAAUAACAAAGAAACAGACUUGUGGGUGUAUAAAAAUCUAAAUAUCAGUCCGUCUGAAUGAGCUGUUACUGUAAAUAUUAUGAUAUGUGAUAUUUGUCUGUUCUGUGAGUAAAAUCUAUGAGUCACUAUUAAGCUAAAUCUAAAUAAAAACAAUGCUCACAGUAGUGGUUGGCGAUGUAGUAAGGGAUGUAGACCUUUCCAUCAGACCACUUCUGCCACAGGCAGCCUGUGGCGGUGCAGGGGUCAGCGUUUCUGUCGGCCACAGACUUUACAGCGAUGUCCCCCUCGAUCAGGGUGGGCUCAUCGAAGUCAGGGUCUGCAAGACAACACAGGUGUGGGGCUGAGGUUGAAAUACACAGCUGGUUAUAAAUGA